GAUUCCAAGAGUCCUAAUUGCCGGAAUCGUUUGGCACCUCGAUGUCGGCUCAUCUAUCCUGGGUACGUAGGAAGAUCCAAGGGUACGUCUGUUCGACGUUUAAAAAGGUACGUGAGCUGGGUUAGAACGUCGUGAGACAGUUUGGUCCUAUCUACUAUGGGUGAUAAAAUUGAAAGGUUCACGAGCUAGUAUGAGAAGAAUGCAUGGGUUUAUAGAGCUAAUGAUAUAUUUGUUUUUAUAUUACAAAAUUAUAAAUAGAAUAUAGUUUUUUACAGGUAAAUGCGUGCUGAAUCUCUUGUUUAUGGGUUGUUUUAAGUAGAGCAUAUCCAGAAGCUAAAUUCAUUUGAUCGGACCACUGAAAACAUAUAAGUUGGGAAGUUCUCCUUAAAAAAAUUUUAUAGAAAAAAUUCUAGAUAAGAAUGUCGAUAGGUAUCCAGUGUAAGUAAUGUGAGUUAUUUAGCUAAGAUACACUAAUUUUUCAAAAUAUUUCUUAA
Molecule: ribosomal RNA, 494 nt
Filed under: Candidatus Riesia sp.
Lineage: Bacteria; Pseudomonadati; Pseudomonadota; Gammaproteobacteria; Enterobacterales; Enterobacteriaceae
Description: partial 23S ribosomal RNA
Rfam family: Bacterial large subunit ribosomal RNA
Source: RNAcentral